RNAcentral lists this long non-coding RNA (510 nucleotides) under Salmo salar (Atlantic salmon). Its description in RNAcentral is "lncRNA (ENSSSAG00000113471.1, ENSSSAG00000115414.1, ENSSSAG00020075679.1, ENSSSAG00075030380.1)". The record is from RNAcentral. Lineage: Eukaryota; Metazoa; Chordata; Actinopteri; Salmoniformes; Salmonidae.
UCUGGCAGGUGUAGAGCCCUCUGGACAUCAGUCUACCAUCUGACAGGUGUAGAGCCCUCUGUUGUAGUCUACCAUCUAACAGGUGUAGAGCCCUCUGGACAUCAGUCUACCAUCUGACAGGUGUAGAGCCCUCUGCUGUAGUCUACCAUCUAACAGGUGUAGAGCCCUCUGGACAUCAGUCUACCAUCUGACAGGUGUAGAGCCCUCUGGAUAUCAGUCUACCAUCUGACAGGUGUAGAGCCCUCUGUUGUAGUCUACCAUCUGACAGGUGUAGAGCCCUCUGGACAUCAGUCUACCAUCUGACAGGUGUAGAGCCCUCUGGACAUCAGUCUACCAUCUGACAGGUGUAGAGCCCUCUGCUGUAGACUACCAUCUGACAGGUGUAGAGCCCUCUGGACAUCAGUCUACCAUGUUAGAGGUGUAGAGCCCUCUGCUGUAGACUACCAUCUGACAGGUGUAGAGAAAAGUGGUCAGAUGAAUCAGAUGCUAAGCUACAGGACUGUUUUGCUA